ACGAGAAGCCACGAAAUUUCCCUCCCCACCGUGCCUUAUCUCCUCGCUUGACUUCCCCCAAAUCUCAGUCUUUCUAUUCCUUCUCGUGCAAACUCCAACUGCGGCGGCGCAGGAGAGCGCCCCUCCCCGGUGUCGCGGUGCGGCAGCGCAAGUGAGUGCGCCACCACGGCACAACACACCUUGGCACCUCUGCGGUGCGGCGGCGCAAGGUGGGCAAGCACCUCGGCGCGGCGGAGUGUGAAGGAGCCGGGAGAAUAGUAACGCCGCACGCGAGCACGCACGAGGAGGAGGAGGAGCCAACGAGAAAUCAGUCGAGGAGGAGCGCGGAGGCGUGGACAGCCUGCCCUGCGCUGCGCCGCCCUGCGCUGGCCGGCCGGCCCCCCACCAAGGAGCCGAUGCUGAGGGCCCGAGUGGAUCUGCGCUGGGGCAGAGUGGAUCUACGUCGGGGUGUCGCAAACCAGGGGCCGGGGAGCUGAGCGGAAGGGCACAGCGGUGGUAGCGAGCGGUAAGCCUUUUCCUCGUAUCCUCUCCCUCUGAACUCAUCCAGGAGCCGAUCUGUAAAGGUCACGGUCGUUUCCUGAGAACUCCAAUCGACAGUGCCAUCCUGGAGGUGUUUUCCUUCAAUCGACAGUACUCGGUUAAUCUCCUGAGAACUCCGAUCCUGAGAACUCCAAUCGACAGUACUCGGUUAAUUCCUGACUUUUGCAAUGUCUACAGUUUUUUUCUAAUUCACCCAGGUUGGACAAAAAGCUUUGAGCAAGCAGUACUAAGUUCCUAGCAUGGUCUGGACACAUGAUUUUCUAGAGUAUUUUCCCCUACAUGUGAGUGCUACUGCGGUUUCCAGACCACAUGACUUUUGCCUUGUCUGCAGGUUUUUCCUAAUUCACCAAGGUAGGGCAGCAAGAUUUAAUAAAGCAGAACUAAAUUCCCUGCAAGGUGGAAAGAUCAGUUGAAUAUGUUUGGACAUCACUGGAAGCAAGAAGAUUAAGAACCAUGUCCCACCUGUCUGGGAUUUUUUUAUUGCACCUACUACUAGCUGUUUAUUAUCUAACAUUUAUUAAUUUUCUAUGUGCUACAUAUUGGUCUAGAUAAAAUUUCUGGACGAUUUCUUUCUUGAUAAGGUUGCAUUGUAUCAGUUACCUUGCGCUUGGACAAUCAGUAUUGCUGUAGAUUGUAUAGUGACAUCAACUAAUUUGCGAGAUGACAUGCCAAUUCAAUAAACUACUGCUAAUCUGCUAAUAUAUUAGUUGAAUUCCUAAAUCCUCAUGUAUUAGGCAUUAGCUGCUGAACUAUAUAGUCCCCCCUGGAAUUAGCGGCAUUAUUGUGAGUUCUGCCUCUUAAUGCUAUUUUGUUCUAGAUCAGAUCAUUUUAGGUAAACAACAAUUGUGAAGCUAGUAAACAAUUUUCUGCAGCCAUCUUUUUGUUUCACUUGAUGUAGUUGUCAUUGCUAUGUGUCGUGUCUCCAUGUUUCAUUUCUUACUGUAACCGUGCUUAUUGGUUGGUUCCAUUUAUCUUGUUUUAAUUGUAGAGAGGGACCAGAGAGAUGUGCAGAAGCUGUUGCAUUGCCAACACAGGCCUGUUAGGAAACAAUAGUUACUUGACUCCUACUUAUCAUCUUUUAUUUGUAUGGCAGCUUAGUUAAAUUGAUAAACAGAGCUCUGUAAUAAAUUUGCAACAAUAGUGUUUUAGAUGGCAGCUUACUUACACAUAACUAGCUGUGAACUUAAUUAAUUGAUUUAGUCUAGAGUGUUGUUAAAACAAUGCAUGGUGUUGGUGUAGUGAGAUCAUAUAUGCAUAGAUUAUUGUAACUGUUGUUUGAUUUCUUCCAGCUUACAUAUGAAAAGUUCCUUUUUGACUUUUUCAUUUGUUUCAACAAGUGAUGUUUGUUUCUAAUAUCUUUUCUACAGGACAUGGAGAAAUUUCAGCAACCUAAGGUAUUCACUCAAGCUACUGACACCAAAAACACCUAGCUGGCAGCACCUGUUGAACUAUUAGUUUGGUGACUAAGGUCACUUGUGAGAUAGGGAUGUGAGAUUUCCAUUUGUUUAAAUUAUCUGAGAUAACUUUAUGACUAAGUUCACUUGUUGAACUAUAGUUUGGUGUUCGUGAUGGAUGUAAUAAAUAUAUUGAUGAAUGACUUGUGAACCUGUUGGUUUGAUCAUGAAUGGAAUAUAUUGUUGGACAUACAUUUGUUAA
Sorghum bicolor (sorghum) is the source of this 2196-nucleotide long non-coding RNA. RefSeq lists it as uncharacterized. NCBI's taxonomy places the organism in Eukaryota, Viridiplantae, Streptophyta, Magnoliopsida, Poales, Poaceae. The transcript is spliced from 2 exons. The record is from RefSeq and is a predicted model, not a curated record.